This 162-nucleotide non-coding RNA is filed under the name Haloquadratum sp. J07HQX50. Its description in RNAcentral is "Sense overlapping transcript RNA 0042 (sot)". It matches the Rfam family "Sense overlapping transcript RNA 0042 (sot)". From Rfam's summary of the family: It is associated with IS1341-type transposase (tnpB) genes, at the 3'-end in H. salinarum NRC-1. The tetraloop structural motif may be functional. The record is from Rfam by way of RNAcentral. Lineage: Archaea; Methanobacteriati; Methanobacteriota; Halobacteria; Halobacteriales; Haloferacaceae.
AAGUAUCUCCGAGUUCACCGAGUCUGAGUCUGUCGGUGAAUAGGAGUAACGGCUGGUUGGCACAGCCUUCGACGUUCUUGUUUGACAACGAAACUGGUGCGUUCGCACCUCAAGAACACGUCACGUCGUAACCCACAAUAUCCCAACCCAGCGGUGCGGUGC